This 41-nucleotide ribosomal RNA is filed under the name Alternaria infectoria. Its description in RNAcentral is "partial 28S ribosomal RNA". Lineage: Eukaryota; Fungi; Ascomycota; Dothideomycetes; Pleosporales; Pleosporaceae. The record is from RNAcentral.
GACCUCGGAUCAGGUAGGGAUACCCGCUGAACUUAAGCAUU